Rosa chinensis is the source of this 829-nucleotide long non-coding RNA. RefSeq lists it as uncharacterized. The transcript is spliced from 4 exons. Lineage: Eukaryota; Viridiplantae; Streptophyta; Magnoliopsida; Rosales; Rosaceae. The record is from RefSeq and is a predicted model, not a curated record.
CAUUACAUAAGAGGACACUGACGAAAAUCUGGAACUAAGCCUCUGUCACACCUUCCACUCCAUCGCUGGCCUUGCACGUGGUUUGCACAACCCCUAAUUAUCUGGGUCGAAGCAUUUCUAGCAAUUACUCUCAAACCCCCUUCACAUGUGCUUUUCAACCAAGAACCAUCAGAGUUCAAUUUCACAAAAUCAGCUUUGGAGGAAUUCAGUGGCAGCUGCAUAUGCCCUCCCUGGUAUGGGCAUCAUUUCACCUCUAUGCUCAUACACUGCAGGACAUCUUGCUUUCCAGAUAUGCCAACAGAUGAAGGCUAUGUGGUGAGGAAGGCAAGGUCAGGAUGGUGUUGAGGGUGGAACCUCUUCAGGAUGGAUCUGGCCAUUUCUUUAACUUUACGAAUCCUCUUUUUUCUUGAGAUCUUUUUUGUGAACAUGACAAUAGUACCUCAUUUUUAUUGGACUUAUGUAAUACAAUGAAAUAUGUAAUACAAUGAAAUAUGUAAUACACCAGUAUAAUUAAGGUGUUCAAAAGUUUGAUGUUACUUCAUCAAUCUGUUUUAUCAACCAUACAUUCUAUUUUUGAUAUGAACUUAUGAUUAUUUGGCGUUUAUUCGAGGUGUUCAAAACAAGCUUCUUGCUGAACUAUAUACAUUCAUUGGUUUUUUUAAUGUCAUUAUUUUUCAUUUCCGUGUAGCCCUUGGGUAGUGCUUGAGAAACUCUUGGAUGACUCGAGUAUUUGCCAUGGACUUGAGAGGACAUGGAAGGUCAAUGACAGAAAAUGAGGCUGAAGGCCUAUUUUAAUUGUGCUUGUUGGCCUCAGACAGAUUGGAGAGCA